CGUCUCUGGUUCGUUCAAUCGCCGUUCUGGUUGCGGCGAGUCCCAUGAGAUUCUCAUGGUAGAAUUGUAUACUCGUGAUAAUAUCACGAAUAAUCUCGUCAUCUUCUCCUCGUCGUAAGUUGGUAACGAGGGCUCGAUUAUUCCAGUUGAGUCCGUCAAGUAGACGGGUGAUUUCACUCUCCACAUGUUGUAGAGAAUUCCUGUAUGGUAC
Molecule: long non-coding RNA, 211 nt
Filed under: Salvia miltiorrhiza (redroot sage)
Lineage: Eukaryota; Viridiplantae; Streptophyta; Magnoliopsida; Lamiales; Lamiaceae
Description: long non-coding RNA (SMIL_LNC008614)
Source: RNAcentral